RNAcentral lists this ribosomal RNA (1332 nucleotides) under Tsukamurella tyrosinosolvens. RNAcentral's name for it is "bacterial SSU rRNA". It matches the Rfam family "Bacterial small subunit ribosomal RNA", at positions 80 to 1428 of the family's 1533-position model. The record is from RNAcentral. Lineage: Bacteria; Bacillati; Actinomycetota; Actinomycetes; Mycobacteriales; Tsukamurellaceae.
UCGGGGGUACACGAGUGGCGAACGGGUGAGUAACACGUGGGUGACCUGCCCUGUACUUCGGGAUAAGCCUGGGAAACUGGGUCUAAUACCGGAUAUGACCUUCUCCUGCAUGGGGGUUGGUGGAAAGUUUUUGCGGUACAGGAUGGGCCCGCGGCCUAUCAGCUUGUUGGUGGGGUAAUGGCCUACCAAGGCGACGACGGGUAGCCGGCCUGAGAGGGCGACCGGCCACACUGGGACUGAGACACGGCCCAGACUCCUACGGGAGGCAGCAGUGGGGAAUAUUGCACAAUGGGCGAAAGCCUGAUGCAGCGACGCCGCGUGAGGGAUGACGGCCUUCGGGUUGUAAACCUCUUUCAGUAGGGACGAAGCGCAAGUGACGGUACCUACAGAAGAAGCACCGGCCAACUACGUGCCAGCAGCCGCGGUAAUACGUAGGGUGCGAGCGUUGUCCGGAUUUACUGGGCGUAAAGAGCUCGUAGGCGGUUUGUCACGUCGUCUGUGAAAACCCGAGGCUUAACCUCGGGCCUGCAGGCGAUACGGGCAGACUUGAGUACUGUAGGGGAGACUGGAAUUCCUGGUGUAGCGGUGGAAUGCGCAGAUAUCAGAGGAACACCGGUGGCGAAGGCGGGUCUCUGGGCAGUAACUGACGCUGAGGAGCGAAAGCGUGGGUAGCGAACAGGAUUAGAUACCCUGGUAGUCCACGCCGUAAACGGUGGGUACUAGGUGUGGGUUUCCUUCCACGGGAUCCGUGCCGUAGCUAACGCAUUAAGUACCCCGCCUGGGGAGUACGGCCGCAAGGCUAAACUCAAAGAAUUGACGGGGGCCCGCACAAGCGGCGGAGCAUGUGGAUUAAUUCGAUGCAACGCGAAGAACCUUACCUGGGUUUGACAUAUAGAGGAUCGCCGGAGAGAUUCGGUUUGCCUUGUGCCUUCUAUACAGGUGGUGCAUGGCUGUCGUCAGCUCGUGUCGUGAGAUGUUGGGUUAAGUCCCGCAACGAGCGCAACCCUUGUCUCAUGUUGCCAGCACGUAAUGGUGGGGACUCGUGAGAGACUGCCGGGGUCAACUCGGAGGAAGGUGGGGAUGACGUCAAGUCAUCAUGCCCCUUAUGUCCAGGGCUUCACACAUGCUACAAUGGCGCGUACAGAGGGCUGCGAUACCGUGAGGUGGAGCGAAUCCCUUAAAGCGCGUCUCAGUUCGGAUUGGGGUCUGCAACUCGACCCCAUGAAGUCGGAGUCGCUAGUAAUCGCAGAUCAGCAACGCUGCGGUGAAUACGUUCCCGGGCCUUGUACACACCGCCCGUCACGUGCAUGAAAGUCGGUAACACCCGAAGCC